UCAAGGACUUUUCAGUGUCUCAUGCUCUGCCAGUGAGGAUCUGAACAAAAAGCUGGGAGAGAGCCUGGUCAGAACAGCUGACUGAACCAGCCAAAGGGAUGUUACAUACCAUAAAAUGCCAUGGGUGAGCUGGCGAGGAGGGACUGAACACUGUUCGAGGACAGGCUGCAUGUCGUUUGUCUUACAGCACAUCUCUUGAACCAAACCAGAAUUCCACAGGGAGACAGAAGACUGUGUCCAGGGCUAUGAAAGAGCCACAAGUCUUGCCAAGGGAAGGCUUUCAGUGCAACAUGUGACACACCGCAGAACCACCAGCAGAACAAAGAGGAUUUGGAGCAAUGGCAACAACCAGCAGUUCUGCAGCAGCACAAAUGCAAAGAAACACCAAAGUAACAAGCUCCCUGCAGAAGCUUUUUUUUUGGCAAGCCCAAAGAUCAUUCAUGCCAUAUUUAAAGGCUAUAGAAUUGCUUAAAGCAUUUCUUGGGAUCCUCUGGGAUGAUGUCUCGUCUGUUUGCUCUAUAUCAAAGGGCAGAAAAGUGACUGGAUUGGAAUGGGGAUAGGGCAGGGAACAAACAGUUGGGUUUUCUAAUAGCGAGGAGCAAUGUUAUUCUGUAUCUUUUAUCAUACUUGUAUUGCACAGUGGAAAGACAUAAUUUUAAGCAAAGUGUACCUCCAAAGCAAACAAAAGCGCUGAAGGAAGUGAGUUUACCCACUUUGAAGUCAAGAUGUGGGACUGACAGAUGAGGGGGUUUUAAUACCACUACUGGAUCACAUUGCUUCCUCCAUCACAUUUACAAUUACUCAGUGAAAAUUUGCCAGCAUAACCAACAGUCAUCUCUCACUAUGAUAUCAUUUCAAAUAAAAUAAAUCCAAGUGCAGAUACACACCGCAAAUUAUUCCAAAGAGUAAAUAAAACAAUACUAUAAUAUAUAAAUGUUCCUCUACUAUUCAAAUAAAGUGCUUUAUGAGUAAUAUAUUUUUUCUCUAAAACAAGGGUAUUUUUUAUGAGAAUAUUUUAGUAAACAAGACCAUAUUCAGGAAAUGGUCUUGUUGUCCCUCUUGGACUUAAUCUGAAUUGAAAUGCAGUAACAAAUAACAUGCAUUUUUAAGAAGACUCUUUCAAACCAUACAGCUGUCCUUAUGCCUCACAGUUAAUUAAUAAUUUCCAUGAAAAAUACUAAGGGCCAGAAAGUGGAGUAGGGAACAGAGAAAAAUGAGAUUGAGCUUUACUUUCAUUGUAAUAUCUAUUGAGCUAAAGGAAAAUACAAAUUUGUUGAGACUAAGAAUUUUUCCUUUUCUGAAGUACAAUUUCCAUUUCAAUUUUAAAAAAAAAUCAAGUACUGGCCAGAAAAUGGGUGAUGUUUUUCCAACAUUAUAUUUUCAUUAUGUUAAUUCAGAUAGAAAGCGAACACUGUUUUUCAAGUCAGACACUUAAGACACUUAUUUUUUAAUGUAAAUUUUAAGAAAUUGCGUGCUGUCAGCUUCAGCUACUGAUUUCUCCUCCUUUCUCUAAGCUGAUGUAUGCAAAAAGUGUAUAUCUACUUGGUGACAUUCCCAAUAUAUAAACGCAUAUUUUCAACAAAAGCAUGCCCUUUCCCAACAUUUUUUUUUUGGUUUGCAUUUAACAAAAUAACUGCAAAUGUCAGGUAUUAGAAGGGUUGAAACAACCUUUUCUAUUUUGUUGUCUUUAGAACCCCAUCUUUUAUUCAUGACUUCUCUCUUAGUGCUGGGAAGGAGGCUGUGUUGCUAUAGCAAUGCCCUGCAUAUCCUUGUGGAUAGCUUACAGUUUCACUUUUUUUAAGCAACAAAGAGCCAUUGAUACUACAUGUUGCCAAAGGUUACAAAAGUUGAAUUCUAAAAUGGAAAUAUUUCUUCUAUAAGGCUGCAUAGGAUAUAUGCCAUGCAAAUUCAAAGCUUCAAGUAAACAUACAGCCCCUUUUGUGAAUACAGAUGAACCUAGUAUAAUGUUGUUUGUCUUCAAUGUAUUAUAUGGAAGAAAAGUAUUUAAAAAUAUUUGCUAUCUACACUUUUCAAGAUAUAAAUGUUCAAAUAUGUAUGACCUCCUAUUACAUCUUUUUGACCUGCGGUAUAAAUAAAAUCUUUCUACAUUUUAACAGUUCUGGAUAAUAAAACACAAUCUCAUAUUCCAA
This is a long non-coding RNA of Pseudopipra pipra, 2150 nucleotides long. RefSeq lists it as uncharacterized. The transcript is spliced from 2 exons. The record is from RefSeq and is a predicted model, not a curated record. NCBI's taxonomy places the organism in Eukaryota, Metazoa, Chordata, Aves, Passeriformes, Pipridae.